Molecule: ribosomal RNA, 812 nt
Filed under: uncultured bacterium
Lineage: Bacteria
Description: bacterial SSU rRNA
Rfam family: Bacterial small subunit ribosomal RNA
Source: RNAcentral
UGACGUUGGGAAAGCGAGCGGCGGAUGGGUGAGUAACACGUGGGGAACCUGCCCCUAAGUCUGGGAUACCAUUUGGAAACAGGUGCUAAUACCGGAUAAUAAAGCAGAUCGCAUGAUCAGCUUUUGAAAGGCGGCGUAAGCUGUCGCUAAGGGAUGGCCCCGCGGUGCAUUAGCUAGUUGGUAAGGUAACGGCUUACCAAGGCGACGAUGCAUAGCCGAGUUGAGAGACUGAUCGGCCACAUUGGGACUGAGACACGGCCCAAACUCCUACGGGAGGCAGCAGUAGGGAAUCUUCCACAAUGGACGCAAGUCUGAUGGAGCAACGCCGCGUGAGUGAAGAAGGUUUUCGGAUCGUAAAGCUCUGUUGUUGGUGAAGAAGGAUAGAGGUAGUAACUGGCCUUUAUUUGACGGUAAUCAACCAGAAAGUCACGGCUAACUACGUGCCAGCAGCCGCGGUAAUACGUAGGUGGCAAGCGUUGUCCGGAUUUAUUGGGCGUAAAGCGAGCGCAGGCGGAAAAAUAAGUCUAAUGUGAAAGCCCUCGGCUUAACCGAGGAACUGCAUCGGAAACUGUUUUUCUUGAGUGCAGAAGAGGAGAGUGGAACUCCAUGUGUAGCGGUGGAAUGCGUAGAUAUAUGGAAGAACACCAGUGGCGAAGGCGGCUCUCUGGUCUGCAACUGACGCUGAGGCUCGAAAGCAUGGGUAGCGAACAGGAUUAGAUACCCUGGUAGUCCAUGCCGUAAACGAUGAGUGCUAAGUGUUGGGAGGUUUCCGCCUCUCAGUGCUGCAGCUAAACGCAUUAAGCACUCCGCCU